Molecule: ribosomal RNA, 780 nt
Filed under: Halobacterium sp.
Lineage: Archaea; Methanobacteriati; Methanobacteriota; Halobacteria; Halobacteriales; Halobacteriaceae
Description: bacterial SSU rRNA
Rfam family: Archaeal small subunit ribosomal RNA
Source: RNAcentral
CAGUAACACGUGGCCAAACUACCCUGUGGAUGGGAACAAUCUCGGGAAACUGAGGCUAAUUCCCAAUAACGCUCCACCCCUGGAACGGGCGGAGCUGGAAACGCUACGGCGCCACAGGAUGUGGCUGCGGUCGAUUAGGUAGACGGUGGGGUAACGGCCCACCGUGCCAAUAAUCGGUACGGGUUGUGAGAGCAAGAGCCCGGAGACGGAAUCUGAGACAAGAUUCCGGGCCCUACGGGGCGCAGCAGGCGCGAAACCUUUACACUGUACGCAAGUGCGAUAAGGGGACUCCGAGUGUGAAGGCAUAGAGCCUUCACUUUUGUACACCGUAAGGUGGUGUACGAAUAAGGGCUGGGCAAGACCGGUGCCAGCCGCCGCGGUAAUACCGGCAGCCCGAGUGAUGGCCGAUAUUAUUGGGCCUAAAGCGUCCGUAGCUGGCCGGACAAGUCCGUUGGGAAAUCUGUUCGCUUAACGAGCAGGCGUCCAGCGGAAACUGUUCGGCUUGGGACCGGAAGACCUGAGGGGUACGUCCGGGGUAGGAGUGAAAUCCUGUAAUCCUGGACGGACCACCGGUGGCGAAAGCGCCUCAGGAGGACGGAUCCGACAGUGAGGGACGAAAGCUAGGGUCUCGAACCGGAUUAGAUACCCGGGUAGUCCUAGCUGUAAACGAUGCCCGCUAGGUGUGGCGCAGGCUACGAGCCUGCGCUGUGCCGUAGGGAAGCCGAGAAGCGGGCCGCCUGGGAAGUACGUCUGCAAGGAUGAAACUUAAAGGAAUUGGCG